Ornithodoros turicata is the source of this 302-nucleotide long non-coding RNA. RefSeq lists it as uncharacterized. The transcript is spliced from 3 exons. The record is from RefSeq and is a predicted model, not a curated record. NCBI's taxonomy places the organism in Eukaryota, Metazoa, Arthropoda, Arachnida, Ixodida, Argasidae.
CAUGCCUCACCCCUUUGGCACCAAAGCUACAGUCUCGCCUUGCCCGUGCUGCUGACCCCAAGGAUGUCCUAGAUUUAGUGCCUGACACACCUCCACUUGAAGAUAUGGUAGACAUUGGCAGCGGCCUGUACAUACGACAGGACAUGUGGGAACGUGUGAGUGCCCAGCAGAAGGACUCCUUGUUCGUGAAAGAGCUCCUCAUGUGCAUUUGGGACAAGGAGGAUCUGAGGGAGAGGUCUUUGCAGGGCAAGCAAUGCCCUCGCUUCCCUGACAGGGCUCCUAAGACACCCCUCACACCUUGG